AAGUAACCGUUCUAGAUCCU
RNAcentral lists this small nuclear RNA (20 nucleotides) under Arabidopsis thaliana (thale cress). RNAcentral's name for it is "snRNA_03330". Lineage: Eukaryota; Viridiplantae; Streptophyta; Magnoliopsida; Brassicales; Brassicaceae. The record is from RNAcentral.